This 880-nucleotide ribosomal RNA is filed under the name Triticum aestivum (bread wheat). RNAcentral describes it as "partial small subunit ribosomal RNA". The record is from RNAcentral. Lineage: Eukaryota; Viridiplantae; Streptophyta; Magnoliopsida; Poales; Poaceae.
CCGUCAGCGACCGUGUGUGCGGGCAUGGCCUGUGCGUCCAGUCACGUGCCCCACCGGUCGGAGGCCAUUCUUGCUAGGGCAAUGAUGAUUAACCAUGGCUGAAAUAAAUGUGCCUUUGAGCAAUCAAGACACCUGUGGGUAUCAAGUUGGAUCCUCCCUCUUGUCUCUAGAAUCCUUUUUGAUCUUGUGAUACUUAUUGUUCUGUCCUUGGAUGGUCAUUCUUGUUGAGUGAUAACCAGGGCAGCUCCACUCUAUAAACAGAUUGAUCUGGUGAUAAGAGAUGACGGGGGUAGGUCAUAUGAUCGAGAAAAGGCGAAUCUGAGCCCACCAUGCAUUGAACCCCGAAUCCUUUUUAUUUGUAGUUAAAGGUGUUGCUUAUUUAUGCUCCGGUGUUUAUAGCCGUCUUAUGUAAAGAUUUCUUCUCUCUCACACCUUUAUUGCAUAUAAGUUGUUCUUGAUCUUUUAUUGUGUGUUAUUGGUCCUUGAAGUUGCACUUUGACUCGCUCCCAGCAAGUUAUCAGUUGAAUGGCUUGUUUUAAUUCUCUGCAACAACAUAGGUGCAGAGGAGGUUUCCAUUCUUUUGUUUGAUAUAUAGGUGCUAAAAGGCGAGUAGUGAGUCAGUGGCAGGGUGGUUAGGGUGGGUCUAUAUAGGUAUAUAAGUAUGUUGUCAGUCUGCUUCUUUUUGUAUUAUCCUGAUCCCGUGUUUAAAUGAAUCAACUCAAAUUUGUAUUUAUGCUCUAUGUGUGAUUGGUCAUGAGCCCAGCCCAUAAUGUAUACUUGAACAAUUAGGCAUUCUUGAUGACACCCUAUUUUUUACUUUGGUAUGUAUUUUCUUUGUUGUUAGAACUAUUGUUUUGCCUAUGCCUGGUUGCUAUUCAGA